GUGGGGAAUUUUGGACAAUGGGCGCAAGCCUGAUCCAGCAAUGCCGCGUGCAGGAAGAAGGCCUUCGGGUUGUAAACUGCUUUUGUACGGAACGAAAAGGCUCUGGCUAAUACCUGGAGCUCAUGACGGUACCGUAAGAAUAAGCACCGGCUAACUACGUGCCAGCAGCCGCGGUAAUACGUAGGGUGCGAGCGUUAAUCGGAAUUACUGGGCGUAAAGCGUGCGCAGGCGGUGCUGUAAGACAGGCGUGAAAUCCCCGGGCUCAACCUGGGAAUUGCGCUUGUGACUGCAGCGCUGGAGUGCGGCAGAGGGGGAUGGAAUUCCGCGUGUAGCAGUGAAAUGCGUAGAUAUGCGGAGGAACACCGAUGGCGAAGGCAAUCCCCUGGGCCUGCACUGACGCUCAUGCACGAAAGCGUGGGGAGCAAACAGGAUUAGAAACCCGUGUAGUCC
RNAcentral lists this ribosomal RNA (450 nucleotides) under uncultured bacterium. Its description in RNAcentral is "partial 16S ribosomal RNA". It matches the Rfam family "Bacterial small subunit ribosomal RNA", at positions 354 to 796 of the family's 1533-position model. The record is from RNAcentral.